RNAcentral lists this ribosomal RNA (870 nucleotides) under uncultured organism. RNAcentral's name for it is "bacterial SSU rRNA". It matches the Rfam family "Bacterial small subunit ribosomal RNA", at positions 9 to 873 of the family's 1533-position model. The record is from RNAcentral.
AGAGUUUGAUCAUGGCUCAGAUUGAACGCUGGCGGCAGGCUUAACACAUGCAAGUCGAGCGGAGAUGAGGUGCUUGCACCUUAUCUUAGCGGCGGACGGGUGAGUAAUGCUUAGGAAUCUGCCUAUUAGUGGGGGACAACAUUCCGAAAGGAAUGCUAAUACCGCAUACGUCCUACGGGAGAAAGCAGGGGAUCUUCGGACCUUGCGCUAAUAGAUGAGCCUAAGUCGGAUUAGCUAGUUGGUGGGGUAAAGGCCUACCAAGGCGACGAUCUGUAGCGGGUCUGAGAGGAUGAUCCGCCACACUGGGACUGAGACACGGCCCAGACUCCUACGGGAGGCAGCAGUGGGGAAUAUUGGACAAUGGGGGGAACCCUGAUCCAGCCAUGCCGCGUGUGUGAAGAAGGCCUUAUGGUUGUAAAGCACUUUAAGCGAGGAGGAGGCUACUGAGACUAAUACUCUUGGAUAGUGGACGUUACUCGCAGAAUAAGCACCGGCUAACUCUGUGCCAGCAGCCGCGGUAAUACAGAGGGUGCGAGCGUUAAUCGGAUUUACUGGGCGUAAAGCGUGCGUAGGCGGCUUUUUAAGUCGGAUGUGAAUCCCCGAGCUUAGCUUGGGAAUUGCAUUCGAUACUGGGAAGCUAGAGUAUGGGAGAGGAUGGUAGAAUUCCAGGUGUAGCGGUGAAAUGCGUAGAGAUCUGGAGGAAUACCGAUGGCGAAGGCAGCCAUCUGGCCUAAUACUGACGCUGAGGUACGAAAGCAUGGGGAGCAAACAGGAUUAGAUACCCUGGUAGUCCAUGCCGUAAACGAUGUCUACUAGCCGUUGGGGCCUUUGAGGCUUUAGUGGCGCAGCUAACGCGAUAAGUAGACCGCC